RNAcentral lists this ribosomal RNA (371 nucleotides) under uncultured organism. Its description in RNAcentral is "partial 16S ribosomal RNA". It matches the Rfam family "Bacterial small subunit ribosomal RNA", at positions 527 to 896 of the family's 1533-position model. The record is from RNAcentral.
GUAGGGUGCAAGCGUUAAUCGGAAUUACUGGGCGUAAAGCGUGCGCAGGCGGGUUUGUAAGUCUGUCGUGAAAGCCCCGGGGCUUAACCUGGGAAUUGCGAUGGAGACUGCAAGGCUUGAAUCUGGCAGAGGGGGGUAGAAUUCCACGUGUAGCAGUGAAAUGCGUAGAGAUGUGGAGGAACACCGAUGGCGAAGGCAGCCCCCUGGGUCAAGAUUGACGCUCAUGCACGAAAGCGUGGGGAGCAAACAGGAUUAGAUACCCUGGUAGUCCACGCCCUAAACGAUGUCUACUAGUUGUCGGGUCUUAAUUGACUUGGUAACGCAGCUAACGCGUGAAGUAGACCGCCUGGGGAGUACGGUCGCAAAGAUUA